GCUUAACGCGAAGAACCUUACCAAGGCUUGACAUACACCGGAAACAUCCAGAGAUGGGUGCCCCCUUGUGGUCGGUGUACAGGUGGUGCAUGGCUGUCGUCAGCUCGUGUCGUGAGAUGUUGGGUUAAGUCCCGCAACGAGCGCAACCCUUGUCCCGUGUUGCCAGCAGGCCCUUGUGGUGCUGGGGACUCACGGGAGACCGCCGGGGUCAACUCGGAGGAAGGUGGGGACGACGUCAAGUCAUCAUGCCCCUUAUGUCUUGGGCUGCACACGUGCUACAAUGGCCGGUACAAAGAGCUGCGAUACCGUGAGGUGGAGCGAAUCUCAAAAAGCCGGUCUCAGUUCGGAUUGGGGUCUGCAACUCGACCCCAUGAAGUCGGAGUCGCUAGUAAUCGCAGAUCAGCAUUGCUGCGGUGAAUACGUUCCCGGGUCUUGUACACACCGGGUCUUGUACACACCGGGG
This 463-nucleotide ribosomal RNA is filed under the name uncultured bacterium. RNAcentral describes it as "bacterial SSU rRNA". It matches the Rfam family "Bacterial small subunit ribosomal RNA", at positions 954 to 1407 of the family's 1533-position model. The record is from RNAcentral.